Molecule: ribosomal RNA, 1554 nt
Filed under: Staphylococcus aureus
Lineage: Bacteria; Bacillati; Bacillota; Bacilli; Caryophanales; Staphylococcaceae
Description: 16S ribosomal RNA
Rfam family: Bacterial small subunit ribosomal RNA
Source: RNAcentral
UUUAUGGAGAGUUUGAUCCUGGCUCAGGAUGAACGCUGGCGGCGUGCCUAAUACAUGCAAGUCGAGCGAACGGACGAGAAGCUUGCUUCUCUGAUGUUAGCGGCGGACGGGUGAGUAACACGUGGAUAACCUACCUAUAAGACUGGGAUAACUUCGGGAAACCGGAGCUAAUACCGGAUAAUAUUUUGAACCGCAUGGUUCAAAAGUGAAAGACGGUCUUGCUGUCACUUAUAGAUGGAUCCGCGCUGCAUUAGCUAGUUGGUAAGGUAACGGCUUACCAAGGCAACGAUGCAUAGCCGACCUGAGAGGGUGAUCGGCCACACUGGAACUGAGACACGGUCCAGACUCCUACGGGAGGCAGCAGUAGGGAAUCUUCCGCAAUGGGCGAAAGCCUGACGGAGCAACGCCGCGUGAGUGAUGAAGGUCUUCGGAUCGUAAAACUCUGUUAUUAGGGAAGAACAUAUGUGUAAGUAACUGUGCACAUCUUGACGGUACCUAAUCAGAAAGCCACGGCUAACUACGUGCCAGCAGCCGCGGUAAUACGUAGGUGGCAAGCGUUAUCCGGAAUUAUUGGGCGUAAAGCGCGCGUAGGCGGUUUUUUAAGUCUGAUGUGAAAGCCCACGGCUCAACCGUGGAGGGUCAUUGGAAACUGGAAAACUUGAGUGCAGAAGAGGAAAGUGGAAUUCCAUGUGUAGCGGUGAAAUGCGCAGAGAUAUGGAGGAACACCAGUGGCGAAGGCGACUUUCUGGUCUGUAACUGACGCUGAUGUGCGAAAGCGUGGGGAUCAAACAGGAUUAGAUACCCUGGUAGUCCACGCCGUAAACGAUGAGUGCUAAGUGUUAGGGGGUUUCCGCCCCUUAGUGCUGCAGCUAACGCAUUAAGCACUCCGCCUGGGGAGUACGACCGCAAGGUUGAAACUCAAAGGAAUUGACGGGGACCCGCACAAGCGGUGGAGCAUGUGGUUUAAUUCGAAGCAACGCGAAGAACCUUACCAAAUCUUGACAUCCUUUGACAACUCUAGAGAUAGAGCCUUCCCCUUCGGGGGACAAAGUGACAGGUGGUGCAUGGUUGUCGUCAGCUCGUGUCGUGAGAUGUUGGGUUAAGUCCCGCAACGAGCGCAACCCUUAAGCUUAGUUGCCAUCAUUAAGUUGGGCACUCUAAGUUGACUGCCGGUGACAAACCGGAGGAAGGUGGGGAUGACGUCAAAUCAUCAUGCCCCUUAUGAUUUGGGCUACACACGUGCUACAAUGGACAAUACAAAGGGCAGCGAAACCGCGAGGUCAAGCAAAUCCCAUAAAGUUGUUCUCAGUUCGGAUUGUAGUCUGCAACUCGACUACAUGAAGCUGGAAUCGCUAGUAAUCGUAGAUCAGCAUGCUACGGUGAAUACGUUCCCGGGUCUUGUACACACCGCCCGUCACACCACGAGAGUUUGUAACACCCGAAGCCGGUGGAGUAACCUUUUAGGAGCUAGCCGUCGAAGGUGGGACAAACGAUUGGGGUGAAGUCGUAACAAGGUAGCCGUAUCGGAAGGUGCGGCUGGAUCACCUCCUUUCU